This 460-nucleotide ribosomal RNA is filed under the name uncultured bacterium. RNAcentral describes it as "partial 16S ribosomal RNA". It matches the Rfam family "Bacterial small subunit ribosomal RNA", at positions 338 to 795 of the family's 1533-position model. The record is from RNAcentral.
CCUACGGGAGGCAGCAGUGAGGAAUAUUGGUCAAUGGACGCAAGUCUGAACCAGCCAAGCCGCGUGCAGGAAGACGGCUCUAUGGGUUGUAAACUGCUUUUAUACGGGGAUAAAGCCCGCUACGUGUGUCUUGUUGCAUGUAUCCUACGAAUAAGGAUCGGCUAACUCCGUGCCAGCAGCCGCGGUAAUACGGAGGAUGCAAGCGUUAUCCGGAUUUAUUGGGUUUAAAGGGUGCGUAGGUGGUUUGAUAAGUUAGAGGUGAAAUUCCGUGGCUCAACUACGGAACUGCCUGUGAUACUGGAGGGCUAGAGUGUAGUUGCGGUAGGCGGAAUGCAUGGUGUAGCGGUGAAAUGCAUAGAGAUCAUAAAGAACACCGAUUGCGAAGGCAGCUUACUAAACUACGACUGACGUUGAGGCACGAAAGCGUGGGGAGCAAACAGGAUUAGAUACCCCAGUAGUC